Molecule: ribosomal RNA, 912 nt
Filed under: uncultured bacterium
Lineage: Bacteria
Description: bacterial SSU rRNA
Rfam family: Bacterial small subunit ribosomal RNA
Source: RNAcentral
AGAGUUUGAUCAUGGCUCAGAACGAACGCUGGCGGCGUGCUUAAUACAUGCAAGUCGAACGUGAAUCCCGACUUCGGUUGGGAUGAAAGUGGCGAACGGGUGAGUAACACGUAAGUAAUCUGCCUUCAAGUUUGGGAUAACCCUGCCAACGCGGGGCUAAUACCGGAUGUGGUCCAGCUGACACAUGUUGGUUGGAUUAAAGGUCGCGAGGCCGCUUGGAGAUGAGCUUGCGGCCCAUUAGUUAGUUGGUGAGGUAACGGCCCACCAAGACGAAGAUGGGUAGCCGGCCUGAGAGGGUGUACGGCCACAUUGGGACUGAGAUACGGCCCAGACUCCUACGGGAGGCAGCAGUAGGGAAUUUUGCGCAAUGGACGGAAGUCUGACGCAGCAACGCCGCGUGAAGGAUGACGGCCUUCGGGUUGUAAACUUCUGUUGGAUGGGAAAAAAAGCCUUUUAGAAGGAAUUGAUGGUACCAUUCGAGUAAGCACCGGCUAACUACGUGCCAGCAGCCGCGGUAAUACGUAGGGUGCGAGCGUUGUUCGGAAUCACUGGGCGUAAAGGGAGCGUAGGCGGGAUCGUAAGUUAGGAGUUUAAUACAUGGGCUCAACCCGUGAUAUGCUUUUAAUACUGCGGUUCUUGAGUAUGGGAGAGGGUGAUGGAAUUCCAGGUGUAGCGGUGGAAUGCGUAGAUAUCUGGAAGAACACCAGUAGCGAAGGCGGUCACCUGGCCCAAUACUGACGCUGAGGCUCGAAAGCUGGGGGAGCAAACAGGAUUAGAUACCCUGGUAGUCCCAGCCGUAAACGAUGGACACUAGUUGCCGGGAGAGUCAAUCCUUUCGGUGACGAAGCUAACGCAUUAAGUGCCCCGCCUGGGAAGUACGCCCGCAAGGGUGAAACUUAAAUGAAUUGACGG